This 73-nucleotide transfer RNA is filed under the name Kushneria sinocarnis. RNAcentral's name for it is "Kushneria sp. Z35 tRNA". It matches the Rfam family "tRNA". From Rfam's summary of the family: Transfer RNA (tRNA) molecules are approximately 80 nucleotides in length. The record is from Rfam by way of RNAcentral. Lineage: Bacteria; Pseudomonadati; Pseudomonadota; Gammaproteobacteria; Oceanospirillales; Halomonadaceae.
GGGUCGUUAGCUCAGUUGGCAGAGCAGUUGGCUUUUAACCAAUUGGUCGCAGGUUCGAAUCCUGCACGACCCA